CCUUUCCAUGCACAAAGAGUCCACGCCCUUCUCUCUUCACACCAUAAGUGGAUAGGGAUGAGUUGGUUUUCAUUUGAAUUUAAAUUUGAUUUGAAUUCAAAUAUGUAACCACUUGUCUUUAUCCUCUCACGCGGAUAAGACACGUUUUGAACUAGUUUAAAAGAGAUAGGGAGCUGGGGCGUGUGUAGAAAAAUUCUGAGAAAGAAAGUGGGG
RNAcentral lists this long non-coding RNA (213 nucleotides) under Elaeis guineensis (African oil palm). RNAcentral's name for it is "long non-coding RNA (EGUI_LNC059754)". The record is from RNAcentral. Lineage: Eukaryota; Viridiplantae; Streptophyta; Magnoliopsida; Arecales; Arecaceae.